RNAcentral lists this ribosomal RNA (347 nucleotides) under uncultured bacterium. Its description in RNAcentral is "partial 16S ribosomal RNA". It matches the Rfam family "Bacterial small subunit ribosomal RNA", at positions 338 to 682 of the family's 1533-position model. The record is from RNAcentral.
CCUACGGGUGGCAGCAGUGAGGAAUAUUGGUCAAUGGCCGGGAGUCUGAACCAGCCAAGUAGCGUGAAGGAUGACUGUCCUAUGGAUUGUAAACUUCUUUUAUCUAGGGAUAAAAUCUUCCUCGUGUGCGUUUCUGUAUGUACCUUAUGAAUAAGGAUCGGCUAACUCCGUGCCAGCAGCCGCGGUAAUACGGAGGAUGCGAGCGUUUUCCGGAAUGAUUGGGGUUAAAGGGAUAGGAGGUGGAGUGUUAAGUCAGGGGGGAAAGGUUGCGGCCCAAACGUAGAAUUGCAGUGUAAACGGGCUGUCUUGAGAACACUAGAGGUGGGCGUAAUUCGUGGUGUAGCGGU